RNAcentral lists this ribosomal RNA (651 nucleotides) under Triticum aestivum (bread wheat). Its description in RNAcentral is "partial small subunit ribosomal RNA". Lineage: Eukaryota; Viridiplantae; Streptophyta; Magnoliopsida; Poales; Poaceae. The record is from RNAcentral.
AUGAGUAAGCUCCAAAGUGACGCUGUUAAGGAUGCCAUCACCCAGAUUGUUGGGGAGGCGAGAGAAAAGAAGCGCAAGUUCACUGAGACUGUGGAGCUUCAGAUCGGUCUCAAAAACUACGACCCACAAAAGGACAAACGUUUCAGCGGCUCAGUGAAGCUGCCCCAUAUCCCCCGCCCAAAGAUGAGGGUGUGCAUGCUUGGUGAUGCCCAGCAUGUCGACCAGGCUGAGAAAAUGGGACUUGACUACAUGGAUGUUGAAAGUCUCAAGAAGAUGAACAAGAACAAGAAGCUUGUUAAGAAGCUAGCCAAGAAGUACCAUGCUUUCUUGGCAUCAGAGGCCAUAAUCAAGCAGAUCCCUCGUCUCCUUGGCCCUGGUCUUAACAAGGCAGGCAAGUUUCCCACUCUGGUUAGUCACCAGGAAUCUCUUGAAGCCAAGGUCAACGAGACAAAAGCUACAGUCAAGUUCCAGCUAAAGAAGGUUCUUUGCAUGGGUGUUGCUGUGGGCAACUUGUCGAUGGACGAGAAGCAGAUCCAACAAAACAUCCAAAUGAGUGUCAACUUCCUUGUGUCCCUCCUGAAGAAGAAUUGGCAGAAUGUGAGGUGCCUGUACGUGAAGAGCACCAUGGGGAAGCGUGUACGGGUGUUCUAA